Molecule: ribosomal RNA, 253 nt
Filed under: uncultured bacterium
Lineage: Bacteria
Description: partial 16S ribosomal RNA
Rfam family: Bacterial small subunit ribosomal RNA
Source: RNAcentral
UACGGAGGGUGCAAGCGUUAUCCGGAUUCACUGGGUUUAAAGGGUGCGUAGGUGGGUUGGUAAGUCAGUGGUAAAAUCCCCGAGCUUAACUUAGGAACUGCCAUUGAUACUAUCAGUCUUGAAUACCGUGAAGGUUAGCAGAAUAUGUCAUGUAGCGGUGAAAUGCUUAGAUAUGACAUAGAACACCAAUUGCGAAAACAGCUAACUACACGAAUAUUGACACUAAAACACGAAAGCAUAAAAAUCAAACAGG